GAAGGAGCAUGAAGGACAGAGAGCAGCUGUGGAAACUGGACAGGCUCUGGUCUCAGGGGAGACCACUGCGGGCAGGGGCCUGGAGGUCUGCGUCCCACCUCAUUCUCCUUCUGCGACUCAGCUCCCCCUGUUUGGGUCUCCGUUGUCCAAACAGACCGAGGAAGCCAGACAGCAAACCAGCCUGGGAGAUGAAGCCCAUGGAGCUCAGUGUGGGGCGCUGAGAGGAGGGGAGGCGUCCAGCAUACUUGUGGGGGGUCAAAGGCACAGUGUUUAGAGGUCCCCACAAGCUUCUUGGAGAGAUGGAGGUCAUGAGAAACUCAGUGAAGAAAGGAUAUUCUUCUUAAAGGCAUACAGAAUAGGAGACUUUACCUCCAGGAAAACAUCAUGGCAUGGAAAAAAUUCUUCGGAUUCAAAAGACAGCGUAUUUUCUGCCUUCCGUGACCUCAGAGUGGGGAGGAUACGCCAGCAGCAGGGAAGUGAGCUGGGUUGGACCCACCAAGAUUGCUGUGGGUCCCACGCCUGGGGAGAAAGAUGACUCAGACUUGUCAGGCUGCUUUCAAUUCAGUUUACUACCAAACUGGAGCCAACACCUGGUGUGAAGGACAAACCCAGGAUUAGGAAGAGGCUACUUCGGCACAAAGGUGUUUCUGGGUUCAGAGGUCUGAGAAGCCUUCAGGAGAUGAAGACUCUCCCAGGGAGAGGGACUCAGGACCCUGGACUCUUGCCUCAACUGUACUCCAGGCUGCAGGAUGACAGGAGACUGCCCCCCAUCACCUGCCCUGGUGUUCCCCAGAGGUUGUCAAAAACAGGGAUUCUGGCCGGGCCAGCCCUACAAGCUUCCUAGUUCUUUCUUUACUACUUCGUAUUAGUCUCACUACUGCUACCACCAGAAAUGACAUUCAGUAGCCUUGACAUACAAAGAAUAAUAUAUGCAUGUCAAGGCUACUGAAUGAUCUCUCUCUUCCUCUCUCAUCUCUUCUGUUCUCUUCUCAGGGGAGAGAAGAGAUGAGAGAGGAAGAGAGAGAGAGAGGAGAGAAGGAGAGAAAGGGAGAGAGGGAGAGAGGGAAGGAGAUAGAGAUAGAGAAAGAGGAGAUAGAUAAGAAGGAGGAGAAAGGGAAGAAAGAGAGAGAGAGAGAGAGAGAGAGAGAUUCAUAGAUUCUAGGCUUACAGUCAGCACAGCUCACCAGGAAUGAAAAAUGACCCAGAGAAAAUGCCCAUGUCCAACAUCUAAGCUGAUAGAAACAAAGGGCCCUGGGUUUUAAGAAUGGCAGGGAUUGUGUACAUCCGCACAGACCAAGCUGGCCCUUGAAGUCAUGUGCUGGGGGAUGUGGAGGUACCCAGAAACACAGCCCUGGCACAGCUUGGGGCUAGACCUCAGCACUGUGGCACAGAAGCCAAUGGCAAGGUGGAGAAGAUGCCGGUGAACAACAGAUGUUAAUUUUUACCUGCCCAGCAGAAGAGAGGCUUAAACUCGAAAAAUAAAAUUAUGUUUCUUUAAUCCUUAAGUUUGUGAACUGAGUUUCAUAUGUCUUAUGCCCAUGAACGAUUUUCUGCAUUUGUGGAGUUAAUAGUUUUGACCUUGAGAAUCAGUCAGCCCUUUUCCUUUUCUCCUCAUUGACUUUUCAAGGUGCUUUUAAUUUGAUCUUAUUGCCCAAAGUCCAUACUGCCACACUUGAAUUGCUGUUGACAACCAGGUAAUUUAAUCACAGCUCCUAUUCUGCAUUUAGUCCCAGGUAUGAAUCUGCACAUGGUAUGCUCAUGUCUUAUAAUUAGUAAAACUUAAAGCAAUGUAUCAUAUUAUCUUUUUAUUUCUUUUGUAAAAUCACAUUCGAUCCCCUUCUAAAUGUCCUUAAUAAAUAAAUAAAUAUCUUAGUGUUGUACAUAUUGGAUUAUUUUGAAAGCAUUUCCAUUAGGAGAGUACUGAUUUGUUCAGGGAAUGAGUGGAAAAAAGUGUGGAAAUUGGAGCAUUAGGCCUUAUCAGUCAUAUUGUGCCAUAUUGGUAGAAAUACUUUCUUUGGAUUGUUACUUUUUACUGGCAAAAAUAGUACUGUGUAAAUGUCAUCUUAAAAAUACAUUGCAUGCAUCAAUGUCAAGGCUGUAUGAUUUUUUCCAUAUGGAAGAGAGUAAGUCUCAUAAGAGUUAUCUUCAUUAUAGAUUCUCCAAGAUGACUUGCAGCUGUCUGUGUGGACUUUAAAAACUGAGCACAACUGAACAUAAAUUAUUUGAAAUACAUUUGUUGGCAAUUAUACUGUAGAAUCCUUGACUUGAUUGCAACAAUUGCUUUUUAAGCUACUUGGAAAUGUUUAUUCCUUAAAAGGAGUAAUAAAACUCUCAAAAAUUCAUCUACAAUUUUAAAUAGAAAUAAACAAAUAUGUAUAUAUGUGGGGGGGGUGUGUGUUUACAGAAAAUAUAAGGUCAGGAUGAUUCCAGGGAUGGAUUAUCAUUUUAAUAUUUAAUAUGUUGUGAGAUUAUCAUAUCCCUUUCAUGAUCAAAAUAAUAUUUUCUCUAUUCUUUUCUCGAACAAAAUACAAUACCAUCUGUAGUUUGAGUGUUUGGAACUCAGAAAAUAAAUGUGAAAUCACAAUGGUA
This 2589-nucleotide long non-coding RNA is filed under the name Sus scrofa (pig). Its description in RNAcentral is "lncRNA (ENSSSCG00040029170.1)". Lineage: Eukaryota; Metazoa; Chordata; Mammalia; Artiodactyla; Suidae. The record is from RNAcentral.